RNAcentral lists this ribosomal RNA (433 nucleotides) under uncultured bacterium. Its description in RNAcentral is "partial 16S ribosomal RNA". It matches the Rfam family "Bacterial small subunit ribosomal RNA", at positions 29 to 507 of the family's 1533-position model. The record is from RNAcentral.
AACGAACGCUGGCGGCAUGCCUAACACAUGCAAGUCGAACGAGACCUUCGGGUCUAGUGGCGCACGGGUGCGUAACGCGUGGGAACCUGCCCUUAGGUUCGGAAUAACUCCCCGAAAGGGGUGCUAAUACCGGAUAAUGUCUUCGGACCAAAGAUUUAUCGCCUUUGGAUGGGCCCGCGUUGGAUUAGCUAGUUGGUAGGGUAAAAGCCUACCAAGGCGACGAUCCAUAGCUGGUCUGAGAGGAUGAUCAGCCACACUGGGACUGAGACACGGCCCAGACAAGUACGAGCGACGGCAGGAGGGGAUAUUGGAGAGUGGGCGAAAGACUGAGCCAGCAGAGCCGCGGGAGGAAAGAGACCCUUAGGGUAGUAAACCCCUGGGACCCGGGAUGACAAGGACAGUCCCGGGAGAAUAAGCUCCGGCUAACUCCGUG